RNAcentral lists this ribosomal RNA (495 nucleotides) under uncultured bacterium. RNAcentral's name for it is "partial 16S ribosomal RNA". It matches the Rfam family "Bacterial small subunit ribosomal RNA", at positions 28 to 507 of the family's 1533-position model. The record is from RNAcentral.
GAUGAACGCUGGCGGCGUGCCUAAUACAUGCAAGUAGAACGCUGAAGGAGGAGCUUGCUCUUCUGGAUGAGUUGCGAACGGGUGAGUAACGCGUAGGUAACCUGCCUGGUAGCGGGGGAUAACUAUUGGAAACGAUAGCUAAUACCGCAUGACAACAGUUAUUGCAUGAUAACUUUUUAAAAGGGGCAACUGCUCCACUACCAGAUGGACCUGCGUUGUAUUAGCUAGUUGGUGAGGUAACGGCUCACCAAGGCGACGAUACAUAGCCGACCUGAGAGGGGGAUCGGCCACACUGGGACUGAGACACGGCCCAGACUCCUACGGGAGGCAGCAGUAGGGAAUCUUCGGCAAUGGACGGAAGUCUGACCGAGCAACGCCGCGUGAGUGAAGAAGGUUUUCGGAUCGUAAAGCUCUGUUGUAAGAGAAGAACGAGUGUGAGAGUGGAAAGUUCACACUGUGACGGUAUCUUACCAGAAAGGGACGGCUAACUACGUG